UUGGGUAAGGGAAGGCUUUUAUUCAAGUGAUUCAAGAGGUUCAAAACAUAUGAUCUUUAAGGUGGUUUACUCUCAAAACAAGUAGCCUUGACAUUGCACAUAAUAUAUCUAAGAAAGGGACCAACUCAUGCAUACAAUGCUCAAUCUCCAUUGUUCUACCCUUUUCCCAAACAUACAAUUACACAAUCAUUCCCAAAUGUCAAACCCAACUCACAUCUCUCACCAAAAGAUCCUAAGAACUUUAACUCCUUCUCUUUGAAAUCUACAAGGGAUUUUUCACAACCUCAAAACAUUUCUUAGCUCCUAACAACUUUGCUAGCCCCCUUUUUCUUUUUUUUUCUUUUUUUUUCUUUUCUCUUUUUUUUUCGUUUUUCUUUUUCCCUUUUUUUUUUUUUUUUAGGCUGGGGGCCAAGACUUUUCAAAACUUGAACUAGAGGCUUCUAUACUGGUCCCAAUAAAACAAUUCACUUAAGCACAAAGAGUCUAUUCUUUUCCUUUUUCAUUUCUCCCAAAUCAUAAUCACAACACUCACCCCCACUUAUAGCUAGACAAUAGAGUGUCCAAUCUAGCAAGAAUGAAGAUCAAGCAUUGUCGUUCCCGAUACUCUCAACAUUAUGCACAUGUAAGACUUUCCGAAAAAGGCCUCACUCAUCAAACAAUGAAAGCUUAAAAGGAGGAAAAGGUUUUGGGAGUGGUCUACCACUAGAGUUUGUCAAAAAAGAUUGGUAUAAAAGAUGUGACAACUCAAGUGUGUAUAGCCAUGACUCAGUACACAAGGGACCAUGAGCAAGAAGCAUUAAGUUCGUUCAGUUCAAAUAAGGUUGUAGUUGGCUUCAAAGACUGAGUUUCAGCAAUCAACAAGUUUCAGGAAGAGUUUUCAAGGCUCGAAACAUACAAGUCUUUUUGAGAGGUGCAAAAGCUAGUCAAGUGCAACGUAGUGUUCUUUACAAGGCAUUCAAAAUCAUUGCUCCCAAUGCAAGUGAAUGCAACCUAUAUGCUCUAGACUCUCCUAAAAAUGCAAAUGAUGCAAACUAAAUGAUUGAUUUUUUUUUUUUUAUCUAUGCAAAUAGGUAUGCCAUGCAUGACUCAAUGAAACAACAUCAAAGCAAACAUGAUCAAAUACUUGGUACCUCCCCCAAACUUGAGUUACACAGUCUCUGUGUCGUCAAGUAGAGAGAGAUACCGAAAAGAAGACUAAUAUGCAAAAAUGAAAUGGUAUAUACAAGGGAGUGUGGUGGGUUACCUUCUAUAGGGAAUGAGUAGAGGGAGAUGCUCCCUCAUCG
Molecule: long non-coding RNA, 1283 nt
Filed under: Brassica rapa (field mustard)
Lineage: Eukaryota; Viridiplantae; Streptophyta; Magnoliopsida; Brassicales; Brassicaceae
Description: long non-coding RNA (BRAP_LNC006668)
Source: RNAcentral